GCUCUACCGAAUAUAGCCCGGUUAAGUAUUCCGGCCUUUCGAGCCGGAGACCCGGGUUCGAAUCCCGGCCGGAGCACCA
Molecule: transfer RNA, 79 nt
Filed under: Candidatus Bathyarchaeota archaeon
Lineage: Archaea; Thermoproteati; Candidatus Bathyarchaeota
Description: tRNA-Glu
Rfam family: tRNA (bases 10-68)
About the family: Transfer RNA (tRNA) molecules are approximately 80 nucleotides in length.
Source: RNAcentral